GACGAACGCUGGCGGCGUGCCUAAUACAUGCAAGUAGAACGCUGAAGAGAGGAGCUUGCUCUUCUUGGAUGAGUUGCGAACGGGUGAGUAACGCGUAGGUAACCUGCCUUGUAGCGGGGGAUAACUAUUGGAAACGAUAGCUAAUACCGCAUAACAAUGGAUGACACAUGUCAUUUAUUUGAAAGGGGCAAUUGCUCCACUACAAGAUGGACCUGCGUUGUAUUAGCUAGUAGGUGAGGUAACGGCUCACCUAGGCGACGAUACAUAGCCGACCUGAGAGGGUGAUCGGCCACACUGGGACUGAGACACGGCCCAGACUCCUACGGGAGGCAGCAGUAGGGAAUCUUCGGCAAUGGGGGCAACCCUGACCGAGCAACGCCGCGUGAGUGAAGAAGGUUUUCGGAUCGUAAAGCUCUGUUGUAAGUCAAGAACGAGUGUGAGAGUGGAAAGUUCACACUGUGACGGUAGCUUACCAGAAAGGGACGGCUAACUACGUGCCAGCAGCCGCGGUAAUACGUAGGUCCCGAGCGUUGUCCGGAUUUAUUGGGCGUAAAGCGAGCGCAGGCGGUUUGAUAAGUCUGAAGUUAAAGGCUGUGGCUCAACCAUAGUUCGCUUUGGAAACUGUCAAACUUGAGUGCAGAAGGGGAGAGUGGAAUUCCAUGUGUAGCGGUGAAAUGCGUAGAUAUAUGGAGGAACACCGGUGGCGAAAGCGGCUCUCUGGUCUGUAACUGACGCUGAGGCUCGAAAGCGUGGGGAGCGAACAGGAUUAGAUACCCUGGUAGUCCACGCCGUAAACGAUGAGUGCCAGGUGUUGGAUCCUUUCCGGGAUUCAGUGCCGCAGCUAACGCAUUAAGCACUCCGCCUGGGGAGUACGACCGCAAGGUUGAAACUCAAAGGAAUUGACGGGGGCCCGCACAAGCGGUGGAGCAUGUGGUUUAAUUCGAAGCAACGCGAAGAACCUUACCAGGUCUUGACAUCCCGAUGCUAUUUCUAGAGAUAGAAAGUUACUUCGGUACAUCGGUGACAGGUGGUGCAUGGUUGUCGUCAGCUCGUGUCGUGAGAUGUUGGGUUAAGUCCCGCAACGAGCGCAACCCCUAUUGUUAGUUGCCAUCAUUCAGUUGGGCACCCUAGCGAGACUGCCGGUAAUAAACCGGAGGAAGGUGGGGAUGACGUCAAAUCAUCAUGCCCCUUAUGACCUGGGCUACACACGUGCUACAAUGGUUGGUACAACGAGUUGCGAGUCGGUGACGGCAAGCUAAUCUCUUAAAGCCAAUCUCAGUUCGGAUUGUAGGCUGCAACUCGCCUACAUGAAGUCGGAAUCGCUAGUAAUCGCGGAUCAGCACGCCGCGGUGAAUACGUUCCCGGGCCU
Molecule: ribosomal RNA, 1369 nt
Filed under: uncultured bacterium
Lineage: Bacteria
Description: bacterial SSU rRNA
Rfam family: Bacterial small subunit ribosomal RNA
Source: RNAcentral